This 253-nucleotide ribosomal RNA is filed under the name uncultured bacterium. Its description in RNAcentral is "partial 16S ribosomal RNA". It matches the Rfam family "Bacterial small subunit ribosomal RNA", at positions 524 to 776 of the family's 1533-position model. The record is from RNAcentral.
GACGUAGGGCGCGAGCGUUGUCCGGAUUUAUUGGGCGUAAAGAGCUCGUAGGCGGCUUGUCGCGUCGACUGUGAAAUCCCGCGACUCAACUGCGGGUCUGCAGUCGAUACGGGCAGGCUAGAGUUCGGUAGGGGAGACUGGAAUUCCUGGUGUAGCGGUGAAAUGCGCAGAUAUCAGGAGGAACACCGAUGGCGAAGGCAGGUCUCUGGGCCGAUACUGACGCUGAGGAGCGAAAGCGUGGGGAGCGAACAGG